This 238-nucleotide ribosomal RNA is filed under the name uncultured bacterium. RNAcentral's name for it is "partial 16S ribosomal RNA". It matches the Rfam family "Bacterial small subunit ribosomal RNA", at positions 539 to 776 of the family's 1533-position model. The record is from RNAcentral.
CGUUAAUCGGAAUCACUGGGCGUAAAGCGCGCGUAGGCGGUUUGGUAAGUGGGAUUUGAAAGCCCCGGGCUUAACCUGGGAAUUGCAUUUCAAACUGGCGAACUAGAGUGCGGUAGAGGGAGGUAGAAUUUCCUGUGUAGCGGUGAAAUGCGUAGAUAUAGGAAGGAAUACCAGUGGCGAAGGCGGCCGCCUGGAUCGACACUGACGCUAAGACGCGAAAGCGUGGGGAGCAAACAGG